GACGAACGCUGGCGGCGUGCUUAACACAUGCAAGUCGAACGGAAAGGCCCUGCUUUUGUGGGGUGCUCGAGUGGCGAACGGGUGAGUAACACGUGAGUAACCUGCCCUUGACUUUGGGAUAACUUCAGGAAACUGGGGCUAAUACCGGAUAGGAGCUCCUGCUGCAUGGUGGGGGUUGGAAAGUUUCGGCGGUUGGGGAUGGACUCGCGGCUUAUCAGCUUGUUGGUGGGGUAGUGGCUUACCAAGGCUUUGACGGGUAGCCGGCCUGAGAGGGUGACCGGCCACAUGGGGACUGGGAUACGGCCCAGACUCCUACGGGGGGCAGCGGGGGGGAAUAUUGCACAAUGGGCGGAAGCCGGAUGCAGAAACGCCGGGUGGGGGAUGACGGCCUUCGGGUGGUAAACCGCUUUCGCCUGUGACGAAGCGGGAGGGCCGGGAAUGGGUAAAGAAGCACCGGUUAACUACGU
Molecule: ribosomal RNA, 467 nt
Filed under: uncultured bacterium
Lineage: Bacteria
Description: partial 16S ribosomal RNA
Rfam family: Bacterial small subunit ribosomal RNA
Source: RNAcentral